Non-coding RNA from Danio rerio (zebrafish), 83 nucleotides. The record is from Rfam. NCBI's taxonomy places the organism in Eukaryota, Metazoa, Chordata, Actinopteri, Cypriniformes, Danionidae.
GUCAGGAUGGCCGAGCGGUCUAAGGCGCUGCGUUCAGGUCGCAGUCUCCUCUGGAGGCGUGGGUUUGAAUCCCACUUCUGACA